RNAcentral lists this ribosomal RNA (253 nucleotides) under uncultured bacterium. Its description in RNAcentral is "partial 16S ribosomal RNA". It matches the Rfam family "Bacterial small subunit ribosomal RNA", at positions 524 to 776 of the family's 1533-position model. The record is from RNAcentral.
UACGUAGGGGGCAAGCGUUAUCCGGAAUUACUGGGUGUAAAGGGUGCGUAGGCGGCAACGUAAGUCAGAUGUGAAAGCCCGAUGCUCAACAUCGGGACUGCAUUUGAAACUACGUAGCUAGAGUGCAGGAGAGGUAAGUGGAAUUCCUAGUGUAGCGGUGAAAUGCGUAGAUAUUAGGAAGAACACCAGUGGCGAAGGCGGCUUACUGGACUGUAACUGACGCUGAGGCACGAAAGCGUGGGGAGCGAACAGG